RNAcentral lists this ribosomal RNA (253 nucleotides) under uncultured bacterium. Its description in RNAcentral is "partial 16S ribosomal RNA". It matches the Rfam family "Bacterial small subunit ribosomal RNA", at positions 524 to 776 of the family's 1533-position model. The record is from RNAcentral.
UACGUAGGUGGCAAGCGUUAUCCGGAUUUACUGGGUGUAAAGGGCGUGUAGGCGGGACUGCAAGUCAGAUGUGAAAACCAUGGGCUCAACCUGUGGCCUGCAUUUGAAACUGUAGUUCUUGAGUACUGGAGAGGCAGACGGAAUUCCUAGUGUAGCGGUGAAAUGCGUAGAUAUUAGGAGGAACACCAGUGGCGAAGGCGGCUUACUGGGCUUUAACUGACGCUGAGGCUCGAAAGCGUGGGUAGCAAACAGG